Molecule: long non-coding RNA, 1657 nt
Organism: Lutzomyia longipalpis
Lineage: Eukaryota; Metazoa; Arthropoda; Insecta; Diptera; Psychodidae
Exons: 2
Source: RefSeq, a predicted model, not a curated record
CAACUAAGUAAGAAAGAUCUGAGAAGAAAAAAACGUGAAGAACCUGAACUAAAGUAUUGAUGGAAAUUGUUGUUAAUCCACAUGCAGAGAUUCCUUUUGCCCUCUGACCCAUUGCGAAGAGAAUACUGAAGAUUCUCUGAUCGUUCACUUGAAGAUCAUACCAUGUAGUUUGCCACAGUGCAUUCGCGAUGUCUUCUGUGUGAUCAAGAAGAAUUUGACUGUUGUACGACAAGACGAGUAGUUGAAAGAAGACAUUGGAAAUGAGAAAGACCGUCCCUAUGGAGAUUGAAAUGAAACGCGCAACGUACAGCGAAAGGCAGAGAAAGGACACGAACGUGCAUAAAAUAGGCAUUUCUCAGGAUCUCUCCGCCCUCAUUCCAUGCAACAUCGCGGCAAUUUAUGCGGGAAAUUAGCGCAGAAAUUGCCCGAAGUUCUCCUGAGAGGUACCCAACACUGAUGGUCAAGACAAAGUCCAAUCCAACAACAACAGAGCCCAAAACAACAACUGUUACAAGUUGCACAGCAAUGUUGAGUGGUCUGUAGAGGAUGCUCGUUUCCGGUAGCCACGGGAGGGUGUACAAAAGGGGGGAGACGUAGUUACUCGCGUACGUGUUGUAAGCACUCAUCAUUAUCACCGUGAGAACGGUCAGAGUGAAGUCGAAUCUGCAAAAAAAUCAGUAAAAAAAAGCAAAUUCAGCGUCUUAAUAAAUUCAGCAAAUUAUUUUAAUAAAGAAAUUUCAUUCAGAAACUAAAGAAUUAAAUUUAACAAAUACCUAUAUAAAGAAAAAAGUUACAAAAAAAAGUUAAGCAAUAAUUUAAAAACUGAAAAAGAAAUCCAGCAGGUAAUAAAUUUAUUUAGAAAAUUGAAGGAAAUGAAUUCAGAAACUAAAGAAAAUUAAGUCAGAAACUCAAGAAAAUUAUUUCAAAAAUUGAAAAAAAUACCUAAUGUUUUAAUUAAUUUACAAACUGAAAAAUCAAUAUCGCAAUGAAAAAGAAUUCAGCAAAGACAGAAAAAAAUUCUGAUAAUAAUUCAGCAACUGACACGAAGUAAUUGAAUUCCGGUUAUUUAAAAAAAAGAAACUGAUGAAUUAAGUUAAAAGCCUAGAAGCUCCAGUGGUAAAGAGAGCUAAAGCGCCACUCAAUACCACCCAUCACUGGGGUUGUGGGUUCGAUUCCCGCAGCGGUUCGCCGUUUCUGGCCUGGCGCUUCCUUCCCUUUCUUUCCUUUCUACUCCACAGCUAUUCCUUUCCUGCUCGGACGACUGCUGCCCCCAAACGGGAUGGAGCCAACAUCAACAUCAGCGCCAUCUGCGAGACGGAAGGGCAACAAGUAGACAGAGUCCCAUAGUCGUGUGCCGGUCAAUCAGCGAUAAUGUGCAGCUGCAUACAGUGAGUGCCUGCGUUUGCGGAACUUCCUAUAUAUAUGGGUCGGAGCCAAAGAUGAACAGAGCAGCCUGGUGGCGGAGGGACAACGCUGGUAAAACCGAUCUACACUGUGUGGCCUGCCGAACGAACACCAGUGCCCAGCGUCUGUGCUGAAUGAUUGCGGAACUUCCCGUGCAGUCGCCACCGACGGGACUCUCCCCCUACAAAAUCUACAUUGUAAUUAGAAACAAAUUGAAUUUGUGAUAAGAAACAUUGUAAAUUGAGUAGGAAAA